This is a long non-coding RNA of Salvia miltiorrhiza (redroot sage), 1629 nucleotides long. RefSeq lists it as uncharacterized. The transcript is spliced from 2 exons. Lineage: Eukaryota; Viridiplantae; Streptophyta; Magnoliopsida; Lamiales; Lamiaceae. The record is from RefSeq and is a predicted model, not a curated record.
GAACCGUGGUCAGAUUCCGCCAUUGUCAGAAGAAAAAAGAAGAAAAGGCUUGAAAGGUGUAGAUUGAAAGAGGAGAAUUGUGGAGUGAAAGUGAGGAAGAAGAAGGAGGAAGAGAGAAUAUAAAGAGAAGAAAAAAAAAUCGAACGGUCAAAUUUGCACACAAACCGAGGCAGUCGAAGCUGCCUUCAAAUUCAAAAUUCAAAUAUUCUUUUUUUUUAAAGGCGCGAGUAAAACACGCGCCUAUUUUCAAUGGUCGAUCGGGUACACGACAGAACAUGUAGCCCUCGUGUAAGUGAGGGCUGCAUCGACUUACACGAUAGCAGCCUUACACGAGUAGGCUGCUAUCGUGUAAGCGAUGCGGAUGCUCUUGGGAGUAUAACUAAAGAGGCUCUCAAUGAACUCUUUAACUUGAUUAAUGACAUGUUGAAACAAAAAAUGGAGAUUCAUCAAAAUAAAAUAUAAAAACCUAGUAAAAAAAACUGUAUGCAUUUAUAUAGUAUAUACUAAUAAUUUAUACCAAUUGGAAAAAUUAUAUUGAAUUAAGUGGAAAAAUAAAAUAAAAAAUAACCCACAAGACUAGAUUUUGAUUUAAAAUAUAAAUCAAUAACCCUUACAAAAUUUCUCAAGACCAAAUUCUCACUACAUGUAAAUGAAUAGCCAGAAAAAGUAAAGAUAGAAACCCUACCUCAGUCUCAGCUGCGCCGCAUCUCUUUUUCUUUCGAUUUAACCUUAUUUUCUUCCGCCGCCAUCUCCCCUCAUCAUAUUUCCUUGUAUAAAAUGAGUUUUGCAGUUUGGUUUGAGAUAUCUAAGCUUCACGAGAUGUCGAGAAGGCGGCAGCUGCUGCUUUCACGAAAUUGCUGAGCUCUCUGGUCAAGAUCCAGCCAUAUACACUGGUGCAUUUUAUCUGUUCGACGAAAUGGUUCAAAGUUUUUUCAAGCGUUGUUACGAAUCAAACGUGGUGGUGUUCACCAAGCUCCUCAAUGGGCUUUUUUCUGGCAGUGGAGAAGUUGUUGAGAGAGAAACUGCGUGAGUAUAAUGAAGUUACAUGUUGCAAAGCUGAGCAUAUUCCAUCGUGAUAGAUGGGCUAUGCAUCAGAUUUUAAUGUUUGAGUGGCUCGAGAAGAGGUUGGAUGCUCAUUCAACGAGCUAUGUUGAUUCCCAACAUAGUAACAUACAGAUUAAUCUCUUCGAACAAGACCUGGUAUCGCAAGUCGCUGGUGCAGCCGAAUACAGGGCCCAACUAUGCCAAUGAUGAAUGAUUUCUUGUGGAUAUGGCGUAUUCUUUUGUUGCAAACAUUCAAAUUUUUUUUUCCGGAUUUGAUGCUCAACUCCGCGGAUUGACAAAUUAGUGUCAGUUUCUUCCGGCACCUCCGGUAGGAGCAUACUUUUAAAAUAGUUGAGAUCGACUAUUGAGAAUUUGAGAUAGUAUCAGUUUCUUCAGGAGGGAGUGUUUGAUGCAUUUGAGAUAGUGUCAAUUUCUUCAGGGAGGGAGUGUUUGAUGCUUCCAGAGGGAUUGUACAAUGAUAUAAUGUAGCAUUCAUAUUCUUAAUUAUGUUUUAGGUUGAUUUUUAUGUUAUAUAAUGCUGAAACUGCGUUUAGUUGAAACUAAUGCAUUGCUAAGUUCUCAUUA